AUCCAGCUGGCGAGUCCCAAAUAGGACGAAAUGCGCAUUAUCCUGGAU
RNAcentral lists this non-coding RNA (48 nucleotides) under Trichobilharzia regenti. The record is from RNAcentral. Lineage: Eukaryota; Metazoa; Platyhelminthes; Trematoda; Strigeidida; Schistosomatidae.